UUUCCUUUCUCCUUCUGUAAUGGCGCAUGGAGGUUAUGGGAAACGCAGAGUCCCUGAAGCUAAUAGUAAUAGAAACAGGCGACCCAAAUCAUUAGGUGUUGAGAAGAAGUCUAAGUCUAAGGCUGUUUCAAUCAAAAAUCAAAUUCGUUCCGUCGAACGCAUGCUCCGUAAAGAUUUGCCUCCUGAGAUUAGAGAAGUUCAAAAACAGAAAUUGGAGGAACUCAAAAAGCAGCAAGAGCUUCAGAAUCGUCUGGCUGUAG
RNAcentral lists this unclassified non-coding RNA (260 nucleotides) under Hevea brasiliensis (rubber tree). The record is from RNAcentral. Lineage: Eukaryota; Viridiplantae; Streptophyta; Magnoliopsida; Malpighiales; Euphorbiaceae.